CACAACUAAACCAGCGUCCCCAGGGAAGGGGGCCGAGGGAAGCCCCCUUCCCAGAGCAUGGCACUCGGAUGGAGAAAAUAAAGGGAAACCAUUCAGCAGCAUCCACACAGGAGCAAGGGAGUCACACAGUAGACUCUACUUUCCAGGGAGUCAUUACAGAAAUCAGCCCCAGUUUCUCACCAUCGCGAGGGGGACGAUGCCCACGAAGGUCGUCUGGCUGACGAAGAUCUCGGAGACGACCAGCUGGCUCACGGAGUCCUCCGCUGGGUACUCUACCUGCCAGGUGAUCUGCUGAGCCCCCGCCAGGCCGCUGCUGUUGUCGAUCCCAAAGUCCACUUGCAAGAUCUCAUAGGAGGAGCCGUUUGGCCUGGAAAACAGACACGCGAGAGUCCAGUUUAACGCGCGUGACUCAGCAGAAUGAAAAGCGCGGUAAAUCCCACCCGCCUGUCUGUCAGCAGAGUGACUGGCAGCUCCCGCAGGCCCGCAGCAGGAGAGCCGCGGUCCAGGCUGCCCUCUGAGCCGCGCCCGGCUGCGCUGUGCACAGAGGCUGCUCUCCAGUGAGGGACUCAGCAGACAGCGCUGCUCGCUGGGCACCGUGCACCCGGCGAGCCCUCCCGGCCCACAGGGCCACACCGCAGCCCGGCGCCACUCGGAGGGGCCGGGACCCCUCCAGCCACCCGGCGUUACCCCGCCGCCAGGCCCAUCCCGAGUCCAGCUACUCCCGCUGCUUCUCGGCCAGGUGUUUACGGACCAGCGAGUCAACCUCUCCUCUCCGAGCCUCAGAAUUGGGGUGGACGUGGUGACUUCACGUGCUUGGGGGAGCGGCGUGAGACCGACAGUGAGAAAGGACCCAGGAACUCCGAGGAGCGUUACACAAACCGUGAGGCCGAGGGGUCACGCUUGACUUCUCCUCUCAUCAGCUCCAGGUGGGAAGAGACGCAUGCACGAAAAUCCCACCCGCCCUUCCUUCGCGCCUUACCGCAUUGUGCGUGUAUUUGGGGUACAGGGAAAGGAAGGUGGGCAGGGCACAUGUAACGAAGAAGACUUGCCAUUCUUCGUGUUUUCUAUGCACAAAGGCUCUUGUAAAUUGUAGGCUGCUACUGCGGUGACAAGGAAGGAACUACAGAGAGUUGAGACAAUGACAGUGCUGUCCAGGACUGAACAGCUCCUUCUCCUCCAAGUCUCCAUCUCCCCGCGUCUACCGAGGAAGGUGACGGGGGAAACUGAGUCGCUCUGUCCUGGACCAUGAGGCUGUCCAGACCGAAGUGGGCAGAGGACUCUCCCUCCUGCCUCUGCGGCCUGGGCAAGGCCUGCACUCUGGAAAGCGUUUCUGAGGCAGCACUGCUGUCUGGCAGGGUACUUGUCCAGUGGGAUCUCCUACCACGGCAGCUCCUCAUGCCUGAAGAUAGAAGACCGAAAGUGGGGAGCCCAAAACUGUAUGCCAAGAGGUAUCGGGAACAACAUCCAGAUAUAAUAGUGGUGCGGACAAAACUAAAUUGCACUGAUGUGACUUAGGAGAAAUUCUACUCCAAAUCGGACAUUAGCCUCCAUAUGGAAUUGGACACAUUCAACCCUUUCCCUCAUAGAGGAAAGGUUUUGAGAAACUCCCAGAUAUCGUACUAUCAACUACCACAGCCACCAGCCACAAGUGGCUAUUUACCUUCAAAGGAAAUUCAUUUAAAACUAAAGAAAACUUAAAAUCAGAUUCUGUCCCACUAGCCUCAUCUCUGGGGCUCAACACCCACACCUGGCUUGUGGCCCCAUGUUGCACAGGGCGGCAGAGAACUCCCAGUUUGCUUCACGCCCUGGACAAGGCGUUUGUGCUGGUCCCACCUUAGUUUCCUCUCCAGGAAAAUGGGCGAGUGGCACCAACACCCGACUACCCACAUUCAGCGGAGUCAUGGAUGGAAGAGGGAAUGGACUCCACUCACCUUGGGCACUGUCCAGCACUGAGUCCAUUCUGUGAUGACCCCAAAACGCAUGGAGACACAACCCUGCCUGGCGCCAGCUGUUCAGUGCUGCUAGCCCGCACUUUGGUCCCGGGGUACAGAGUGGCCAGGCUUUGGGUAGCGGAGAGUGCCUGAGUCAGACGGGCAGCCCCCCUGAGCCAUGGCACUUCCUCUCUGCUCUGACUUCCCAGCUCAUGAUCAGCCGGAGCCCAGGGGGUGCCCAGGCCAGGCAGUGUGUAGAACAGCAAUUAAUUACCUAGGCUCAUCUCUAUGUAUAAGGUUUUGCUAUUGUUGUUUUAUAAUUUUCCACAAAGCACAGGAAGGAAAUCUUACUUCAGGCGGCUGGAAUGCUUGCCAGUCAGGCAUUUCUAUGGAAAUGGGUUCAUAGCUAUGAAUUUUACCUGCUUCUGAUCUACUCUAGAUAAAC
Molecule: long non-coding RNA, 2376 nt
Filed under: Heterocephalus glaber (naked mole-rat)
Lineage: Eukaryota; Metazoa; Chordata; Mammalia; Rodentia; Bathyergidae
Description: lncRNA (ENSHGLG00000045860.1)
Source: RNAcentral